Bicyclus anynana (squinting bush brown) is the source of this 3882-nucleotide long non-coding RNA. RefSeq lists it as uncharacterized. The record is from RefSeq and is a predicted model, not a curated record. NCBI's taxonomy places the organism in Eukaryota, Metazoa, Arthropoda, Insecta, Lepidoptera, Nymphalidae. The transcript has 3 exons.
UUUAACUUAAACGCUUUACUAAAUUUUUUUUGUGGAUCAUAGAAAGCAGCACUUACAAAGUGCUGAUUUUUAGAUCCAUCUGUAUAUAACUUAUAAUAAUAUUUACAAUUUUUAUCAAUAAACAUCCGGAAGUCUAUGUUUGACGUAAUAUUCAACAAAUGAAUUUUAUUUUUCAUAAUCAAGCUCUCAAAGGAGCAAGAGUACAUGGGCCAGGCGUUACUAACAUUUAUGUUAGUGGCAAUAUUAUGCAUAUAUGUCAUAAUAAUAGAUAUGGUAGGUUGUUUACCUGCCAAAAGUGAAUUUGCAGUCGCUUGUAAAGAUUCAGUAGUAGAUUUAGUUACAGUUAGUAGACUAUUUGGAAGCAAAAGUUUGUUCACUAUUGAAGAGCUCGAUGAUAGAGCUUUCAAACAAAAUCUUUCAGCUAAAUAUAUGCGUCUUACAAUUAAAGGAGAAAUACAAGUCUCUACUUCCAUUGAAUUAACAGGUGUAGAGCGCAUAGCCCCACUUAUUAUGCGCAAGCCAAUGUUUUGAAUAACAUCAAGUUUUUUUAAUAAUGUGGAAUUGGCUUGCAUAUAUGCAAGGAAACUAUAAUCAAAGUGACUUCUGACCAUGCUUUUAUAUAAUAGAGAUAGGACUUUAGGAUCAGAGCCCCAAAACGUUCCAGUCAAACAUCUCAAUAAAUUAAUGCCUUUUAACGCAUUUUUGCUAAUAUAAUUAAUAUGUCUGUCAAAUUUUAAUUUAUUAUCGAUAAUUACACCCAAAAAUUUCUUUUGAUUUACAAAUGGAAUAUCUGUACCAUUAUAUUUGAUGUUAUUCCCCACUGGGCUGCCAAAAAUCAUACAUGAACUUUUGGAAGUAUUGAUAUUUAAUUUUAACAAAUUUUUAUAAUAAGACUGCAACUGGAACAGUGCCGAAUUAAUAGUAUUUUUAGCUAUUUCUAUAUUUCUAUUUACACUAUACAUUAACAAGUCAUCCGCAAAUUGUAAAAUUUUAACAUCUCCUAAUAAAAAAUUUUCAAUUUGUGAGGUGUAUAAAUUAUACAAAAUUGGUGACAAUGCUGAACCUUGCAUAAGACCUUUACUAGUUUGGUUUAUCCCAUGGAGUAUAUUAUUGUACUUAACAUAAAAGUGUCUAUUAUUAAAAAAAUUUGAAAGCCAUUUUAACAUUUUUCCAGGGAUACCGAUUUCAUGAAGACAAUUGAUGAGCUGGUUUAAGUCCACAUUAUCAUAAGCACCCUCUAUAUCCAAAAAUAUACAUACUGCUGUGGAUUUAGACAAUUGACAAUUCUUCAUAUCAUAUAUAAAUGAAGUUAUACUCUCUGAUGCGCUUUUACCUCUACGGAAACCAUAUUGAAAACCUGGUGGACAAUAAACACAAAGUAUUGAUAAGUCACCAACAUUGGUUCCUAAAGAAAUUGCUAUGGAUUGAACAUCUUCAUAAAAUUUUGUUUUCAGAAGUUUAUAUUUAAAUGUAUUUCUUAAUAAAAUACCUACACCACCAUGUUCAUUCUUUGCAUUUUUUCCAACAAAGUUAUAGCCUGGGAUUUUUACAAGAUUACUAGAGUUUUUAAGCCAAGUUUCAUUUAAUAAUAAAAUAUCAAUAUUUUCCUGUGUUAAAAAUGUUUUUACUAAGGGUUUUUUAUUAUUAAUACUCUGAAUGUUAUGUUGAGCAAUAAUGAGCUUUGAAGCCAUUAAACUUUAUUCAAAUGUUUCAAAAAUGCUUCUUUAAUUUUACUUGUGCUUUUUAUGUCAUUUGAGUUUCCUAUAGUAACUAAUGUAUUAAUUAUUGCGGAUAAUAUUUUUUUAUUAUUAAUGAUAUCUGAAUAAGAAAUAUCUAAAUUUUCUUGUGUGUCUAGUUUAGAUUGGUGGAAUUUUUGCUGUAUUUGUUGAGGCUUCGGGAGAGUAGGAAAAUUAACACUAUUAAUUUCAAUUACCUUAGCAUAAGAUUGUUUAUUUUUUUCUAAUCUCGCUGCCUUUAUAGGGCAAGUUUUGGAUAUGGCUAAGUGAGCUCCACCACAAUUAGUGCACUUCAAUGUAUCAGCCGUGCAUGCUUUGUAGUGGUGUUCACCAGCACAGCGUGAACAGACCUGUAUAUUUUUGCAUAUUUUCCCAUAGUGAUUAAAUCUCAUACAUUUAAAACAUUGCAUUAGUGGAGGAAUAUAUGUAUAGACCUUAUAACGCCAAUUGUCUAAAUAUAUAUAUUGUGGUAAAGUUGUUCCUGCAAAAAUUACACUAAUAGUUGACAAAGGAACAACAUCGUCUACAACCUUUUUCAUGAAUCGUCUUACACCAAUAAUCUCACACUCUGAAGAAAGUUUAUUAAAUAGUUCAUGGUUACUGGACUCUUUAGGUAUAAACCUGACAACCCCCACCCUCUCCACAGAAGAUGCCGGGAUGAAGGCACGAAGAUUGUAAACCGUUAGGCAUUCAUGUUUGAGAAAAUCAUUGGCUGCUGUUGCUUGUUUGAAUACUAACAUUAUUUUGUUAGCAUUAAUGCGCCUGCUCUCAUAGAUACCUUUUACUUGUUUAAAGUAUUUGGACACAACUAAUGGGUUUUUGUUCCCCAAUUUAAUUUCCGCCUCACUGCUUUCCACAAACACUGGGAAUUCCGCGUUAGUGCUAUUAUCCGUGUAGGCUCUGCUAUAACCUGCCUUUAUAUAGGGUUUAUAUUUUAAACUCUCGUCCUCACCAGACUUAUGCACUUUACGUUUUUUUCUGUCUAGCCUUUCGUAGGCAUCACCAUCACUGUCUGACGGCAUUUUGCCUGAUUUAAUUUACAUUUGUACACUUUAUUUCACACGUAUAUUACUGAAAAAGUUUUAAAUUAAAAUUUUCAAUUUUAAAAGCGCGCUUCUCGAUUCCCGCCAAAAAUCGAAUCCCCCAUCCAUCACUUCAUUUACAGUUUUUCACAGAUGUUUUCAAUUUUCGAUCCUGCAAACGCAGACGACAAAUUCAAUGUACUCCACAGAUUAAUAGAUACUCUACCACACUCUCCUCUAUGGAAAUGGAUUCAUUAUUUUCUUGUUCGAAGUAGUGACACUUGACAAUGAUUGAUACUUAUAAUCAGGCCCUCCCAACCGUAGAAUAAAAAAUGAGAAUCCUCCAUCCUUUACUAACAAAAGAGAGAGAUAUCUCCAUCCUUCUCCUUGUUAUGGGCUGUAGUAGGUGGUGGCCAUGCCUAUCUCUUUCACCUGUACACUUAAAUAAACUUGCACACUGUUACAAUUCUAAGUAUCGAAGAACUGAUGUGAUUGGUCAAAUUUACACAAAGAAAAAUAAUAGCUUUUAUGAAUGAAAGAGAAAUGUGUUUAUACCACGUGUGUAAGAUAGUUUUGAAUUUGUUGCCUCGUGCCUGCGCCGCCAUUGUAAUUUUACUGCGAAAGAUUGGUUUUGACUUUUCAAUAAUUGAAAUCAUUGAAAUUCGCAUGAGCGCCGCUGGAAUUACUAAUAAUAAGGAUAAAUCUUUCUUGUUAAUUAAUUAUCUUCACUAUUUAAAUAAAUUUUGAUUUAUAAAAAGAUAUACAAUGUAGUUCGAUUCGUGCUUGGUUAUUGAUAAAAGUAAUUUUGUUUUAAAUGUGUUAUUCCCAAGUGUAAAACGCGAUCAAAUUACGUGCUGUACCUUUUACUGAUAGUGAUAACACUAGAUGGGAGGCAUGGUUCAUCAAUUGUCCAAUAUUACGGAAAUAUACUCGUAGGCAGUUAGAAAACGUUAAAAUUUGUGAAAACCACUUUCUACCCAGAAAAAAGACCUACUUAUUGGUAAUCAACGUGCACAGUGGUCCAUCAUUGAGGAGCUCUAUGCUACAGAUGGUGAAGCCGGACGUGCAAGAACCACAACCCUGACGGAUAAACACAUUAGACCAACUUCUUAUGACAAGAUGAA